AUGACUAAUUUUAAUAAAUUGACUAAAUUGAAUCAAGGCUUGAAACAAAUUAACAAUUGAUUCAAUCUCGAAUUUCUUCGUUUAAUAAAAUCAAAUAUAUAUUUAUUCAAAUAAAUUAUUUUUGAGAAAAAAAUAUAAUUAAAUUAAGAUUUUAAUUAUUUGAAUUAUUUUUCAAGGAAAUAUUUAAAUAAUAAAAUUAUAUGAUUUCGUAUAAUUGAAUAUGAAAAAAUAUAUAAUUGCUAUUUAGAAUGACUAAAAUAUAAUAAAUAUUUUGAAAUAUUUUUAUCCAGAUAAAAUAAGUAUACUAAUUUUAUUAUAACAGAAGAAACUCAUGAAAAAAUUACGUGAGGGAGGACAAAACUAAGUGUCAAACAACUUGGAUGGAAAUUGACGUUACAUACCAACAACAUUCAAACAUUAACAUCAAGUCUCUAAAUAGAACCUACUGACUAUUUUCAAAUUCUGCUCUUACGAUCUGAUUAAGGAAAUAAACGAUUUGCUUCAACUGUUAAAAAGUUUCUUGCAGAUAAAUCUAUUCAAUUCUCAAAUCUUAUCAUAACAAUAAAAUCAAACAAGACCAAAAUCCACCAUAGCCACAAGAUAAGAAAGAAAAAAGAUGAAGCAGAAGCAAUUGAAGAACAAAAAUAAAAGUGGACGAGCUGCAUAUUUUUCUUGGGGUAGCAAAUCGAGAUUCCGAGCCUUUGUUGAAAUCACCAUCAGUAAAUAAAAUUGAUUCCUUAGCCUUGAUCCUAAGCUACUAAGAGUCUUAUAAGAAUCUUAGCCUAGAAAUCCAUUUGUUGGGGAUUAGGCUUCAUUUGGGAUUUUUGUUGGUUGCGAGUAGCUGAUGUUCUUGUCGUCAUUUUUUUGUUAAUGUUGGUCGAUAUUGUUCUUGUGGUUGUAAGCUAUUAUUAAGGAGAAAGGAUUUGACGGUGACUUGGGCCUAGAAUCUUGGUGAGUUGGAGUUAAAAGGAAUGGGCAGGUGGAUUUAACGGAUAAAUUACACAAAU
RNAcentral lists this long non-coding RNA (1007 nucleotides) under Capsicum annuum. Its description in RNAcentral is "long non-coding RNA (CANN_LNC008549)". Lineage: Eukaryota; Viridiplantae; Streptophyta; Magnoliopsida; Solanales; Solanaceae. The record is from RNAcentral.